AUCAGUGUGUGUGUUAGUGGAAGCGUCUGGAAAGGCGCGCGAUACAGGGUGACAGCCCCGUACACAAAAAUGCACAUGCUGUGAGCUCGAUGAGUAGGGCGGGACACGUGGUAUCCUGUCUGAAUAUGGGGGGACCAUCCUCCAAGGCUAAAUACUCCUGACUGACCGAUAGUGAACCAGUACCGUGAGGGAAAGGCGAAAAGAACCCCGGCGAGGGGAGUGAAAAAGAACCUGAAACCGUGUACGUACAAGCAGUGGGAGCCUCUUAAUGGGGUGACUGCGUACCUUUUGUAUAAUGGGUCAGCGACUUAUAUUCUGUAGCAAGGUUAACCGAAUAGGGGAGCCGAAGGGAAACCGAGUCUUAACUGGGCGUUAAGUUGCAGGGUAUAGACCCGAAACCCGGUGAUCUAGCCAUGGGCAGGUUGAAGGUUGGGUAACACUAACUGGAGG
RNAcentral lists this ribosomal RNA (450 nucleotides) under Escherichia coli. Its description in RNAcentral is "partial 23S ribosomal RNA". It matches the Rfam family "Bacterial large subunit ribosomal RNA", at positions 316 to 772 of the family's 2925-position model. The record is from RNAcentral. Lineage: Bacteria; Pseudomonadati; Pseudomonadota; Gammaproteobacteria; Enterobacterales; Enterobacteriaceae.